This 495-nucleotide ribosomal RNA is filed under the name uncultured bacterium. RNAcentral's name for it is "partial 16S ribosomal RNA". It matches the Rfam family "Bacterial small subunit ribosomal RNA", at positions 28 to 507 of the family's 1533-position model. The record is from RNAcentral.
GACGAACGCUGGCGGCGUGCCUAAUACAUGCAAGUAGAACGCUGAAGGAGGAGCUUGCUUCUCUGGAUGAGUUGCGAACGGGUGAGUAACGCGUAGGUAACCUGCCUGGUGGCGGGGGAUAACUAUUGGAAACGAUAGCUAAUACCGCAUAAGAGUAGAUGUCGCAUGACAUUUGCUUAAAAGUUGCAAUUGCAUCACUACCAGAUGGACCUGCGUUGUAUUAGCUAGUUGGUGAGGUAACGGCUCACCAAGGCAACGAUACAUAGCCGACCUGAGAGGGUGAUCGGCCACACUGGGACUGGGACACGGCCCAGAGUCCUACGGGAGGCAGCAGUAGGGAAUCUUCGGCAAUGGACGGAAGUCUGACCGAGCAACGCCGCGUGAGUGAAGAAGGUUUUCGGGUCGUAAAGCUCUGUUGUAAGAGAAGAACGAGUGUGAGAGUGGAAAGUUCACACUGUGACGGUAACUUACCAGAAAGGGACGGCUAACUACGUG